Molecule: ribosomal RNA, 497 nt
Filed under: uncultured bacterium
Lineage: Bacteria
Description: partial 16S ribosomal RNA
Rfam family: Bacterial small subunit ribosomal RNA
Source: RNAcentral
GAUGAACGCUGGCGGCGUGCUUAAUACAUGCAAGUCGAGCGAACAGACGAGGUGCUUGCUCCUCUGACCUUAGCGGCGGACGGGUGAGUAACAAGUGGCUAACCUACCUAUUAGCCUGGGCUAACUUCGGGAACCCGGAGACAAUACCGGAUUAUAUAUAGAACCGCAUGGUUCAAUAGUGAAAGACGGACUUGCUGUUACUUAUAGAUGGAUCCGCGCCGCAUUAGCUAGUUGGUAAGGUAACGGCUUACUACGGCGACGAUGCGUAGCCGACCUGCGAGGGUGAUCGUCCACACUGGAACUGGGACACGGUCCAGACUCCUACGGGAGGCAGAAGUAGGGAAGCGGCCGCAAUGGGCGAAAGCCUGACGGAGCAACGCCGCGGGAGUGAGGAAGGUCCUCGGAUCGUAGAAGUCUGUUAUUAGGGAAGAACAAAUAUGUAAGUAACUAGGCACGUCGUGACGGUACUGAAUCAGAAAGCCACGGCUAACUACGUG